Molecule: long non-coding RNA, 194 nt
Organism: Sebastes umbrosus (honeycomb rockfish)
Lineage: Eukaryota; Metazoa; Chordata; Actinopteri; Perciformes; Sebastidae
Exons: 3
Source: RefSeq, a predicted model, not a curated record
GGCAAACUCAAGCCCAACAGGCAACAACAGCUGUCAGUUCAAGUCAAGGAACCCCUUUGAAAAUGAACAUGACAGUUUUUUCUCGCCAAAACUUAGCGUAAAUUUGAAGCGUUAUGUAACAUCCUUCGCGACAAGCUAGUAUGACAUGGUUGGUACCAGUGGUUGCCUUUCUAGAUUCAUAUGAUAGCAGUAUC